UACGGGGGGAGCAAGCGUUGUUCGGAUUUACUGGGCGUAAAGGGCGCGUAGGCGGCGCGACAAGUCACUUGUGAAAUCUCCGGGCUUAACCCGGAGCGGCCAAGUGAUACUGUAGUGCUAGAGUGCGGAAGGGGCUACUGGAAUUCUUGGUGUAGCGGUGAAAUGCGUAGAUAUCAAGAGGAACACCUGCGGCGAAGGCGGGUUGCUGGGCCGACACUGACGCUGAUGCGCGAAAGCUAGGGGAGCGAACGGG
This 253-nucleotide ribosomal RNA is filed under the name uncultured bacterium. Its description in RNAcentral is "partial 16S ribosomal RNA". It matches the Rfam family "Bacterial small subunit ribosomal RNA", at positions 524 to 776 of the family's 1533-position model. The record is from RNAcentral.